Molecule: non-coding RNA, 399 nt
Organism: Taeniopygia guttata (zebra finch)
Lineage: Eukaryota; Metazoa; Chordata; Aves; Passeriformes; Estrildidae
Source: RefSeq, a predicted model, not a curated record
GCAGGGAGAGCCCGGGUCCGUCCGGGGCUCUGUGACCAUCCAUUUCCAGCCGUGCAGCGGAUCCAGGUGUGCCCGCAUCCCUCGGGAACGAGCUGUCCGCACUCCGGCAUUUCUCACCCCCAGCCCCGCAUGAACCCCGGCACAGCGAGGGCAGCUCAGCCCCAGGAACGCCGACUUUGCAGAGCUGUUUGGGCUCCACCAGUCUUAAAAUUAGCACAGAUUAUUAUUAUUACUACUACUACUACCACUACUAUUAUUUCCUGUUGCUUUGAUGGCUGUUCUGAAGCCCAGCCAAGUGCACAGAGCAGCAUCACUUUGCCUUGGGGAAGCAGCAGCAGCAGCAGCAGCAGCAGCAGCAGCCGAGCAGGAGCGCGUGGCUGGAGCUGCGGCUGGGCUCUC